ACAACUCGCUGACCUUCGGGCCGACCAGCUCCGGCUUCCACCGACUCCGCACGCCGCCCCAGCCCUGCAGCGGCUUCUAAGAUUUCACUCCGCGCUGGGCUGGGGGAGGGGGUGGCUUCUCCGGGAGGGGGUGUCUCCGAUCGAAAAAGGGCCACUUCACGCUCCUUCCCUUCCUCCGAAGGACCACCCGGUGCAGCUUGCUUCGGAGUGGCAACCCUCGCCAGCUGUGAGGUCACAUCUCAAGGAAGGCCGCCGUCCACUCCAACGGACAGCCCUGUGAUGCCGGUCAGUGGGACCACAUCUGUGAUUUGGAGAGCUGCCACUGGUACUCCAUGCCGACUGCCACUUCCUGUGGCCCAAGAGGAUGAGAUUAAAAAACAUUCUUCGAUUUGGAUGGGCCAAUAGAAUGUAUUUUGGUACCACACUGUUAUCCCCACCCCACCCCCCUGGGUUUUCUAAACCUCCCCAGUUGUCCCUUCUGUGUCACUAAUCCAGUAAUCUGAAAUGAGGACAAAUUUCACUUUGGAUCACCUGAAAGUAAACUUUCCAGUCUGAUACAUCCAA
Molecule: long non-coding RNA, 564 nt
Organism: Marmota flaviventris (yellow-bellied marmot)
Lineage: Eukaryota; Metazoa; Chordata; Mammalia; Rodentia; Sciuridae
Source: RefSeq, a predicted model, not a curated record